Long non-coding RNA from Eriocheir sinensis (Chinese mitten crab), 4454 nucleotides. RefSeq lists it as uncharacterized. The transcript has 3 exons. The record is from RefSeq and is a predicted model, not a curated record. NCBI's taxonomy places the organism in Eukaryota, Metazoa, Arthropoda, Malacostraca, Decapoda, Varunidae.
CUGUACACAUUGCACACACUUUCCCUUCUUCUAUGCAUACUCACACCCACACCCACACACGCACACACAUGCAGAUAUGAACAUGAUGGCAGACUCAAAUGUGUCUACCAGAUAAGAUUCAUUCCAACACUCACUCAACAAUAAGAGAGAGGACUGAAGGAUAAACAAUUCAAUAGAAAUGUCAACCUAAAAGGCAUCUCAAUUCUGUCUGGUGCAGCUACACUAAGGUAAUCUCUGGCUAAAGAAAUCAAAGGCUUCUAUCUACUUACAGCACUAGAGGGACAUAAUAUUGUAUCCACUCAUUAAAUAUAAAACCUAAAAGUGUAAAUUACUGGCCUCCUGCAACUCCAAUCGAAAUCUUAAAUACCUAACAUUGUGCCCAAAAUUCCUUCUUAUGCAAAUUAUACACUUGAAAGAGGCACUGAAUGUUCGAAUAUUUAAAGUCUAACUAAUAUUAAUGAACUAGGAUACUUUACAAGGGUCCAUGUGACACACUGUACUGCCACCAUUCACAUCCAGCUCAAACUAUCUGAGGAAAAAGUAACUGUGACCUCGGCAAUGACGCACACCUCUCACAAAGCUACCGACAAACAUUUCCCAGGCAACGGAAUCUUGAUGAACACUGACAGGGAAGGCUCGUGGGAGGACAAGAAUGAAGGGGACAAGACGUUGGGGCUUGACGCAUUCAAGAAGGUGCAGCAAGAUGUGAUUCACCAGAUAAUAAUGAGUGAAAAUGACAAUACUUUGGAGACUGAAAGUGUUAAAAAAAGACAGCCACAAGACAUGAUAAAGGAAACUGUUAUGACUUUAUGAGUUGAGGAAGAAUGAAGAGGACAAGACUUCGGGGUUUGACAUGUUCUGAAAAGCUGCAAGGUGACACCAGACAAUCAUUAUGAGUGAAAAUGACAACACUUUGGAGAAUGACAGUGUUGAAAGGCAGUUGCAAGACAUGACAAAGACAACUGUUAUGACUUUGGGAGUUGAGGAAGAAUGAAGAGAACAAGACUUCAGGGUUUGACACAUUUUGAGAAGUUGCAAAAUGUGCUUCACCAGACAAUUAUUAUGAGUGAAAAUGACAACACUUUGGGAAUGGCAGUGUUUAAAAGGACAACUGCAAGACAUGAGAAGAAGACUGUUAUGACUUUUAUGAAUGAUUACCAUAAACAUGACUUUUGGGGGUGAUGUUUUGAGAGGACGAUGCAAGAUGUGAUGCAGAAGAUAAUUUUUAUGAAUGAAAAUGACAAUAGUGAGGGUUGGUAGCAUUCCGAGAUGAGAACGAUAAGAUGUUAUUCAGGAAAUUAUUAUGAGAGAGAAUGACAUAAAGAAUGAAUGAAGACACUGCCCUUGAACUGACUCCUCUGCUGGAAAAAAAAAAACAUUAUUCAGAACAAAAGUGAUGUGAAUGAAAAUGAGGUGAUGAGUUGAUGACAGUGAAAAGACAAAAGAAUAAAAACAUGAUUCAGAACAAAAGUGAUAUGAAUGAAAAUGAGGUGAUGAGUUGAUGACAGUGAAAAGACAAAAGAAUAAAGACAUGAUUCAGAACAAAAGUGAUAUGAAUGAAAAUGAGGUGAUGAAUUGAUGGCAGUGAAAAGACAAAAGGAUAAAGACAUGAUUCAGAACAAAAGUGAUAUGAAUGAAAAUGAGGUGAUGAAUUGAUGAUAGUGAAAAGACAAAAGAAUAAAAACAUGAUUCAGAACAAAAGUGAUAUGAAUGAAAAUGAGGUGAUGAGUUGAUGACAGUGAAAAGACAAAAGGAUAAAGACAUGAUUCAGAACAAAAGUGAUAUGAAUGAAAAUGAGGUGAUGAAUUGAUGACAGUGAAGACAAAUGAAUAGACAUGAUUCAGAACAAGUGAUGUGACUGAGACAAGUGAUAUAAAUGAAAAUGACAAGACUUCAGGGAUUGAUUGACAUGUACAAGUUAUCAUUGCAGACUGAGAAGAAAAGUAUCAUGAACAAAACUGACAAGCCUAAGGACUGAAUGAAAAGGGACACAACCUCAGGACUCAACAGACAUGUAUAAGCUAACAUUGCAAGACAUGAUUGAAAAGAAGAGUAUCAUGAUUGAGAAUGGCAAGACUAAGGGCUGACAUGUUCGCUUCAGAGGACAGCUGUUAUCCAGAAGACAACCCCAGACCAAAUAUAAACAACUCUCCUCCUCACAUCAGCUUUGGGGAUCAAGAACAUCUUUUGUGCUCUGGGUCAGUGCUGAAGGCAAGACUUGGUACCUUUUAUGUCCUAUCUGUUUAUUCUUGUCCACUGCAUCUUUUUCCAUUCCUCUUAAGUUCGAUAUGCAACUGAACAAUCAUAAAAAUAAAGAAUAUAAAUCACUCUUAAGUCACCUAUGUCUUAUCUUAACACCUCGGUUAAAUGUCCAAGAUGUUUAUUUUCCUGAUACAAGCAUUGUCACAGAAACUGGUGGACAUCCCCGAACUCUCAAUACACUAAGGAAGAUUAAAAAUAUGACCUGCAGAAGGAAACACACAUUGAGAGGGAAGAAAAGACCCCGAACUCUCGACACACAAAUGGAGGUUAAAAACAUGACCCACGGAAGGACACACACACCGAGAGGGAAGAAACACAGAACAGUCGACAGUACAAAGACCAAAGGUAUUUAUGUGGAUAUUAACAGGUGUAAGAUUCUCACUGGCAGAGAUUGAACAACUCCUCCUGGCACUCUAUAUGCAGAUAGUACUUGUGUACCUGAGCAGGAGGACAAAUAAAGGUGUGGUUACUAUUCAAGAAGGUUACUCAACAUUACAACCAUCUGGGAGGACUUGGUAUCAAUGGUAUCCAGUAUGAAAAAGCUACGGCAAAGUUCUAUUUCAUCUUUUUUUGUCUUUUUUUGACUAGUCUUUUUCCUGCAAACUGUAACAAGGAGAUCAAGAAGCAUGAGAUCAGCUGAGGGCACAUAAUCCAAGCUGCAAUGAACGUUGAAAAAGAUGUACAAACAGACGCUGAGGAAGGAGGAACAACUGUAUCUCCCGACGAGUGGUUACGAGACGCUUGCUAUGGACAAAAGUCACGUUAGAAAGAGCUGCCUUAAGCAUGGAUGGCAAUGGUGGUGUUUGAGUUGAAAAUCCACCAAGUUACAUAGGAUGGGAUGGGGGUUAGUCUGUAGUCAUGCAUGUGUUUGUGUGUGUGUGUGUGUGUGUUUCUGAGUAGCCAAGGUGUAUGUGUGUUUCUGAGUAGCCAAGGUGUGUGUGUGUUUCUGAGUAGCCAAGGUGUGUGUGUGUUUCUGUGUAGCCAAGGUGUGUGUGUGUUUCUGAGUAGCCAAGGUGUGUGUGUGUUUCUGAGUAGCCAAGGUGUGUGUGUGUUUCUGAGUAGCCAAGGUGUGUGUGUGUUUCUGAGUAGCCACGGUGUGUGUGUGUUUCUGAGUAGCCACGGUGUGUGUGUGUUUCUGAGUAGCCAAGGUGUGUGUGUGUUUCUGAGUAGCCAAGGUGUGUGUGUGUGUUUCUGAGUAGCCAAGGUGUGUGUGUGUGUUUCUGAGUAGCCAAGGUGUGUGUGUGUUUCUGAGUAGCCAAGGUGUGUGUGUGUUUCUGAGUUGCCAAGGUGUGUGUGUGUUUCUGAGUAGCCAAGGUGUGUGUGUGUUUCUGAGUAGCCAAGGUGUUUUCCACAUGUCAUAUACAGUGUGUUUGAGUUGUCUCCAUAUUUACGUUUAUCUACAGUAGCUUAUUAAAACCUGUGUGUAUAUGUGUGUAUAUGAUUGUGUGUGUGUGUGUGUGUGUGUGUGUGGUGUGUGUUCUGUUCUGGUAUCCUCCCCAGCGUUGCCAAAUUAUCGCACUCAUCACAUUGCAUUUUGUAGUUUCUAACCAAUAACGAAUGCAAAAACAAAUAAACAAACACCAAUAAAUAGGAGUUUUAACGCCAACUUCAAUUUUCUAUCGUUAUUUGUGUAGGUACGAGAGUUUGAGGCUUAACCCUUUCUUUCUUGGCGUGGGACAGGCAGCGACUAUCCCCUCAGGCGCAGUCAGGUAGCCCAAUGGGGGGGGUCUCUUUCAACCUCUGUAUCUCAAAAACUAUUUAUCACAAUUAAAAAACAAAAACACCACUGGAAAGAGGAGGCCCAGAUCUAUAGGAGUCGGUUAUGUAUGCCUCUCCUGCGAAUGUACAUGCACGUUCAGGGAGUGACGAAUGUGAACACCUACGUCAGUGCGUGCAGGAUGAUCAGCCAAAUUGAGGGAACUGCGGACAUCUUUCCUUGAGAUUCUGGCAAGGCUGUAUUGCCAACUGCAAUAUUUAGAACUAUUUGGUCAAAGAAUCAGUCAGGUGAUAGGUGAAGCUAUGCAAAAAUGCCGCUAUAUUGGUAAAGAACAUCCACCAGUUACUCGUCCGAAGAUUUGUCGUGAUGGGCUGAUAUGAUUUUCCACCAAAUUUAGUGAAAAACCCACUCAAUUGGUAAUCCUGUGUUGUGAAAAAUAGAGUUGGAACACUCUCAUACGCGGGAGAUUUGAGUG